AAAAAAAACAAGCUCUCUUCAUCUUCUAUACCACACCCUUUCAGGAUGGAAGAGAAGAUGUGGCAUUCUCUGCUUUGAUAGUGCUGGCUUUGUUUUUGAGGUGGGAGAAGGCAUUGAAACUGGACAAGUAUUAAUUGAUUGUUCAGUAAAACAACUAAAAUAAAAACCCUUUACAUUGUUUUA
Anolis sagrei ordinatus is the source of this 183-nucleotide non-coding RNA. NCBI's taxonomy places the organism in Eukaryota, Metazoa, Chordata, Lepidosauria, Squamata, Anolidae. The record is from RefSeq and is a predicted model, not a curated record.